Molecule: transfer RNA, 67 nt
Filed under: Pandalus borealis (northern shrimp)
Lineage: Eukaryota; Metazoa; Arthropoda; Malacostraca; Decapoda; Pandalidae
Description: tRNA-Val
Source: RNAcentral
UAGAUUGUAGCUAAAAUUAAAGCGCUUCAGUUACAUUGAAGAGAUCGCUUUAAUCGGCGCUGUUUAA